AAGAGUGAAUGAGAGGGAGCUCUAGUGAGGGGAAGAGAGACAAGACGAUAAAGGAGAAGGGAACCUUGAGUGAGAAAUCUACAAUAUAUCCGUUCUGUACCUUGAUUCAAUAUUUAGCAAUAUUUUGAUUUUAGUCAACAAAAAGCUUGUACAGCAAUUGUCAAAUGUUGUGAUCUAGCUAAAGGGAGUUUGAAAGGGUGUGGCGAGGAAACGGCUAAAUCAAAACUCAGUGGAGCCAAGUUACGAAGCUUCUAGUAUUUGAGUUCAAGAAGAAUUUGUCAAUGAAUCAAACAAUUGGAGGAUUCAAGCUUUGGAACUCAGUGUGAAAAGGGGAAUUUUCUGGCCACCAAUCAUCCGGCAAAUCAAAUCGAGUGCAAGGAUCCCGGCUUGAGUGGGCGGGGCCUAAGGACUUCGGAGACCGCCUGGACUAGCUAUUGAGUGGACUUGCUACCAAGUGUACGUACAGGGGCAUAAUGUUUCCCUUUGUGUGAUUGUGAUUCUGUUUCUGAUUAUGACCCUGGGUCGUGUUAUACUGAUUCUGCUGGUUCUGUCUGGUUGGUAUUGUUGGUCUUAUGUUGCUCGGGAGGGACUAUCUGUCAGGAUACUGUGUGCUAACGGUAGUAGAUGUUAGCCUUGUUGCACUGAGUUAAGCCUCAGCUAGGAGGGGUGAUGCUAGCCACCCGUGUGUAGGCCUGCACGUGGUGAUCUGUUCUAAUGAGACUGUGAGAGUGCCCGAUUCUGUAUACAUCUGUUGAGGUGUUGAGAUUUCAUAUUUGACAUUGUGUGUUGUCUGAUAUUCUGAUUAAUUAUGUAUGAUAGUCCUUUCAUCUGAACCUGUCGGUAUAAUCUA
This is a long non-coding RNA of Tripterygium wilfordii, 850 nucleotides long. RefSeq lists it as uncharacterized. NCBI's taxonomy places the organism in Eukaryota, Viridiplantae, Streptophyta, Magnoliopsida, Celastrales, Celastraceae. The record is from RefSeq and is a predicted model, not a curated record. The transcript has 2 exons.